RNAcentral lists this ribosomal RNA (565 nucleotides) under Bacillus toyonensis. RNAcentral describes it as "bacterial SSU rRNA". It matches the Rfam family "Bacterial small subunit ribosomal RNA", at positions 88 to 638 of the family's 1533-position model. Lineage: Bacteria; Bacillati; Bacillota; Bacilli; Caryophanales; Bacillaceae. The record is from RNAcentral.
GAAGUUAGCGGCGGACGGGUGAGUAACACGUGGGUAACCUGCCCAUAAGACUGGGAUAACUCCGGGAAACCGGGGCUAAUACCGGAUAAUAUUUUGAACUGCAUGGUUCGAAAUUGAAAGGCGGCUUCGGCUGUCACUUAUGGAUGGACCCGCGUCGCAUUAGCUAGUUGGUGAGGUAACGGCUCACCAAGGCAACGAUGCGUAGCCGACCUGAGAGGGUGAUCGGCCACACUGGGACUGAGACACGGCCCAGACUCCUACGGGAGGCAGCAGUAGGGAAUCUUCCGCAAUGGACGAAAGUCUGACGGAGCAACGCCGCGUGAGUGAUGAAGGCUUUCGGGUCGUAAAACUCUGUUGUUAGGGAAGAACAAGUGCUAGUUGAAUAAGCUGGCACCUUGACGGUACCUAACCAGAAAGCCACGGCUAACUACGUGCCAGCAGCCGCGGUAAUACGUAGGUGGCAAGCGUUAUCCGGAAUUAUUGGGCGUAAAGCGCGCGCAGGUGGUUUCUUAAGUCUGAUGUGAAAGCCCACGGCUCAACCGUGGAGGGUCAUUGGAAACUGGGA